AACGAACGCUGGCGGCGUGCUUAAGACAUGCAAGUCGUACGGAAAGGCCCCCUUCGGGGGGUACUCGAGUGGCGCACGGGUGAGUAACGCGUGGGCAAUCUGCCUUAGGGUCUAGGACAA
This 120-nucleotide ribosomal RNA is filed under the name uncultured bacterium. RNAcentral's name for it is "partial 16S ribosomal RNA". It matches the Rfam family "Bacterial small subunit ribosomal RNA", at positions 29 to 146 of the family's 1533-position model. The record is from RNAcentral.